GCGAUGGGGGAGUGAACUGCAAUCAAAGGCAUAGCUGGGGAAGAGGCAGGGACGUGCGCGGGUACAAGAAUCUGGGGUUUAAAAGUGAUUCUGCAGAUGGGAGACAAAAGGACCAGGUGCACCACAUGAACAGGAUCUUUUCCACUGAGAAAAAUGUAAGAGCGUGAUGACACACACCCGUCCUCGUCACCGAUGGACACAGGCCAAUUAAAAGAGCUCGGAGUCCACAGCAGCUGCCCUGCCAGGAGGGCACGCUCGCCCCGUUAAAGCGACUGUGUGCUCCAGGGACAGAGAGGCUUCCAAGUGGGGCAGAGCCUUGGUCCACACUGCAUCCCCCACUCACUGGGCAGCUGGAGCAGGCCACAAAGGGCGCCUGUGCUCUGCGGCGGUCGUCGGGGGUUCCUCUGCCUGCAGAGAAGAGCCAUCUGCAGAGCUCUGCCUGCCCGGCACAGGGCAGAGGUCUGGGGCCAGGAUCACGGUGGAUGCUUAGGAGGUGAGGGGCUGCCAUCCCCAAUGCCUGGGCGAGGCCUCCUGCUCCCGCCUCCAGGGUGAGGGCCCGGCUCUGCCCUGCUCCUCUCUGCUCCCGUUUGGCCUCAGUCCCCAUCAGGCGUUCCCUGCACACUCACCACAGGCCAGAACCGCACCAAGCCCUCAGGAGGGGAGGGGCUCCCAGUUGGUGGUAGACAGACCCACCACCAUACGCCAUGAUGCCUGCAAACUGAUGAGGCGAGACGUCUCAGGUGCUGGGCCAGCCCAGGCCAGCCCCAACAACGAAUGCACGAGGCAAGGCAGUCGCUCUCCAGCGGGGUGCCCUCCUGUCCUGCGCUGAAAUCGGCGCCUGUCCCCUCCCUGUUCCAAAGGCUGUCUGUAAAGUGGAGCCCACGGGGCUGCUCCAAGGCCAAUGGGCAGGACCACUAUCAGGGUCCUCUCGAGGCGGGGGAGUGGCAGGAGACCGAGUUCCCGAGCCCAGGCUGCUCUUGCAGGGAAGGAGGGCCUCUUCAACAUCACCAGUGGCUCCAAGCAGCCUGUGGGAGGCAUGGGCCCAGCUACCAAGCCUGAGCAGUUCUGGCCAGCAUCCCACCAGGGGUGGCUGAGCCGGGUCAGACCAAAGAAGCAUCACCAGAGUACAUUUGGGAGCUGGAACCGGGGACACGCAAGUGAGACCUCGCAAGAAAAAGGAAUCACUGGGUCUCAUUUCCCUCUCACAAACUCUUACCAGACUCAUUUUUGCAGCCACGACUCUUCACAACCACCCCCAGGUGCUGGUGUCUUCUGGGGCGUGUGCUGCCCCACGCUCUAGCCUCGUGAGCAGCCGUGCAUGGCCCCCGGGGCAAGAUGUACUGCCGGUGUGCUAGCCCUGUCCUCCCUCCAGGACUUCCCAGGCAGUUGCCAGCUGCAGGCAGAGGGCACAGAGUAGGUAGGACUGGUGCUUCUGGCCUGCAUGGCGGCCACCAGCCCUGUCCGGCUGCAACACACAGCAGCACAUGCAGGAGAAAGUGGUGGUCGCCACCCUCCUCUCCCAGGGUUCACACUGGGGGGUCAACAUGCCACAGGUCCCCAUGAGAUGCUGACCACAGGCCAGGAGAAAGGGGCUGGGCACAGAGGCCCAAGGGACCGCCUAGAGAAGGGCGGAGGGACCCCAGGCAGACGAUGGCCAAGUUGGGGCCCAGAAAAGCAGAGAAGCCUUUGGGCCUUGCUGCCGCAGUGGCCUUGAGGGCUCUGCCAGACCUCCUCCCCAGGCCUGGGUCCACGAUUCCGAUGAGAGACACCAGUGUAACCAGGAGUACAACCAGAACGCCUUUGCACCCUCCAGUGCCCUGUCCCGGGCCACUGUCCCCAGGCCCAGCUGUCCCGAGGUCAGGAGGUCAGGAGCAGGCCUGGCUCAGUCUCCCCAUCUGUGCCCAGGGGGACUGUUUGGCUGCAACUGGUCUUCGAGGUUAUUUUGAGCAUCAAAAAGAGCGACAGUCCCAAUUGUGACAACAUGGAUUUUCAAGGGAAGGAAGCAGCCCGGGCCUCCUGGAACCCCAGGGAGGAGACAGCUGUGACAAGGGGUGGGGGGGCAAGGAUGGAGAAGCACGACAGUGGUGGUCUUGGUGAUCGCGUGGCGACUGGGGAUGGCAUUCCAGGCCUGUUGAUGUCACACCCGUGGAACUCAAGGCAAUUCCAAAGGGGAGAUGGGUAAACAGGAAAUGAGAAGAUACGGUGGCCGAGCAGGAAGCUGAGAAAGGGGGCCUCAGCGUGUUGGUAGGCUCUGCGUCAGUGUCUGGAGAGGAAAGGGACUGGAAGCAGCCAGAAUUAUGGGAAACAAGCGUAAGCGAGGCCUCCAUGACCUCCUUCUGGGCCCAGUUGAUGCCAGCCCCAGUGCCAGGCCUCCUGCCAAGCCUGGCAGGGUGCAGUUGGGGGGUGGGGUUGUGUUGGGCACAGACCAUCUACCUGACCCCCAGACUGGGUCUUCUCCAUCCAGUCACUGGAGAGGCUCCUGGGCAGCAAGCAAGACACUGGUGGCUGCUCAUCUGCAGCCACAUGGCCAUCUGGCAUAGACAAUGUGUUCAAUAACUGAUGCUUUUUGGGACUGAGAGGAAAGAGAGGCACAUAGCCGCUGCGGAUGUGGGACAGACAGAGGAUGCCUGAAGGAUGUCAGAGCCCUGGGCAAUGAGGCCCUGCCAGAAAGGGGCCGUGGACACACUGUGGGCCUGGGGCUAUGUGUGUGGACACCAGUCCCACUUCUGGUCUCACCUGCCUCCCAGGAUGGUGUAGGACUAAGCCAGCCAUAAACUUGUUAUUCUGAGAUGGAGUUGUAAGAAAUAAAACAGAGAGAUCUCAUGUUCACCUGGUUUCCCCCGAUGGCAACAUCUUGCAAAACUAUAUGAUAAUAUUGCAAUCUCCCUCCAUUUCUAUAAUUUUGUCAUUUUAUGAAUGUCACGGUGAUGGAAUCCCACAGUGUGUAGCCUUCGGACAACGGCGUUUUUCACUCAGCGAAUUCUUGGGAGCUUCAUCCAGGUGGUGUGUGCCAGCAGUUCCUUUCUUCUUACUGCUGAGUAGGAUUCCCUGGAGUGGAUGGCCCGGGUUCACUGACCCAUUCACCCAUUGAAGGACUCUGAGUCGUUUCCAGUCUCCAGCUAUUACAAAUACAGCUGCUGUUAACAUUCACGUCCAGGUCUUUGUGUGGACGUAAGUCUUCAUUCAUCUGGAAUAAAAGAACUUGAAAUCAGCAAUUCAAAGAGACUUCUGCACCCCUAUGUUCAUUGCAGCACUAUUCACAAUAGCCAAGACGUGGAAGCAUCCCAAGGGCCUAUCGACUGAUGAUUGGAUAAAGAAGAUGUGGUAUAUAUACACAAUGGAAUACUACUCGGCCAUAAAAAAGGGUAAAAUCGUCCCAUUCACAAGAACAUGGAUGGACCUUGAGGGUUUAUUUUAAGCCAAAUAAGCCAGAUAGCGAAAAGACAGUCUCUGUAUGACUCCACUCAUAUGUGGAAGAUAAACAACACGUGGACAAAGAGAACAGAAUAGUGGUUACUGGGGGGAGGGGAGUGGGCACAAAGGGUAAAGGGGUGCACCUGUAAGAUGACUGACAAAUAAUAAUGUACAACUGAAAUUUCACAAGGUUGUAAACUAUCAUAACCUCAAUAGAAAAUAUAAUGGAAAAAAAAUAUGACCAAGAAUAAAAAACUCCGCAAAAACCUGAAACAUUUAUCUGGGAUAAAUCUGGGUCCUAUGGGUCCUAUUGGGUCCUAUGAUAGUUGUGUGUUUAGGUUUUUAAGAAACUUUCAAACUGUUUUCUAGAAUGGCUAGACCAUUUUACAUUCCCACCAGCGCUGAAUGAGUGAUCCAGUUUCUCUGCAUCCUCACAAGCAUUAGGUAUUGUCACUUUUCUCCCAUUCUAAUGUGUAAUGGAACCUCAUUGUGGUUUCAAUUUUCCCUUCCCUCAUGGCUAAUGAUAUGCUUUUUUGCCAUCUGUGUAUCCUCUUUGGUGAAAUGUCUCAUGUCUUUUGCCCAUGUUCUAACUGGAUUGUUUUUUUACUGUUGCAUUUUGAGAGUUCUUUAUAUAUUCUAAAUACUAGUCCUUUGUUGGAUAUGUCAUUUGCAAAUAUUUCCUCCCAGUCUGUAGCUUGUCUUUUCAUCCUUCUCACAGGAGGUCUGUCGCAGAGCAGAAGUUUUGAUUCUGAUGAAGUCCAGCUCAUCAAUUUUUCUUUUUAUGGCUCGUGCUUUUGGGAUCAAGUCUAAGAAUUUGUU
This is a long non-coding RNA of Equus asinus (donkey), 4233 nucleotides long. Lineage: Eukaryota; Metazoa; Chordata; Mammalia; Perissodactyla; Equidae. The record is from Ensembl.